GCAGCCGCAGCCCCUGGCGCUAACGGUCGGUAACGGCCCGCGCGCGCCGCCCGCCGGGGGCUCGCGCCAGCCACGAGGGAGCGUCCGCGGCCCGCGCGCCCGCGCGGCGGAGGAGAGGUGUUAAGUGUGAUGCUUCCAUAAUACAUUUGGAUGCUGUCAGCUAAGUUCACUUCUGAACUAAGGGGUUCCUCCAAAUGUUGGCUGAAAUUCAUCCCAAGGCUGGUCUGCAAUUACCUAUUUCUUUUAAGAAUAAAUUUAGUGGGAAUAUCAGUUCCAGUCAUGGGUACCAAACUUUUUUAGUGACAGAGUACACACAGAGUCUGCAAUUCAUAAUGGAGCUACUGUACUGGCUAUUGGAAGGAGGAGAUUCUGAAGAUAAGGAGGUAAAACCUGUUUAGAAAUUAAAAAUGAGUUACGAUUUAAAGAAAAUUCAGAUGACUCAUUGUGAGUGCUAGUUCUCUUGUAGGAUGCCACUGGAAAUGUUGAAAUGAAAAAUAUUCAGCCGUUGGUCUUUGAAAUUUCCUGUGAUGUGUUUCAAUCUAGAUGCAAAGAACAUGGAAAAAUCAAAGUGCUCGAGUGGUUUAAAUAUGUUUUGGGUAUUCCUGUUUAUAGACUAUAAUACUUUUCCAAUUAAAAUCCUCAGUUGUCACGCAGAAGAAGGUUAAGCUGUAUUUGAUUGCCAGUUUUACUGAAAAUGCUUAGUAUUUUACAGUAUCACCAAAUAUAUUUUGUUUAGCCAAGGUAUAGGAAAAAUAAAAUAAAUUGUAUAGGUUGACUUUUUUCUAAAAUGUCUUUAUUGGAUUGAAUGAAUGUUUAUACCUGAAAAAAAAAGGUUCAAAAAAA
This 843-nucleotide long non-coding RNA is filed under the name Homo sapiens (human). RNAcentral describes it as "colorectal neoplasia differentially expressed, transcript variant 3 (CRNDE)". Lineage: Eukaryota; Metazoa; Chordata; Mammalia; Primates; Hominidae. The record is from RNAcentral.